AGGGGUAUAGUUCAAAGGCAGAACGGCGGUCUCCAAAACCGCAAGUGUGGGUUCGAUUCCUACUACCCCUG
RNAcentral lists this transfer RNA (71 nucleotides) under Salsuginibacillus halophilus. It matches the Rfam family "tRNA". Rfam says of the family: Transfer RNA (tRNA) molecules are approximately 80 nucleotides in length. The record is from Rfam by way of RNAcentral. Lineage: Bacteria; Bacillati; Bacillota; Bacilli; Caryophanales; Bacillaceae.